Molecule: long non-coding RNA, 6045 nt
Filed under: Zostera marina
Lineage: Eukaryota; Viridiplantae; Streptophyta; Magnoliopsida; Alismatales; Zosteraceae
Description: long non-coding RNA (ZMAR_LNC000093)
Source: RNAcentral
UGUCUAGAUGAUGCUAGUUGUAGUUUGUAAUCUUUUAGGUAUGAAGGCAUUUUUCUAGUUCUUUUUGAUGUUCUGUUAGUGCCCUCAUUGUCUGCUGGUGUUGGUGUUUCAGCUAUUUCUUCCUCUUCUUCUAACUCAUAUUGUUCAGUGAGUUCCAUUGAAGGAGGAAUGUGGGAAAUUUGAGGAAUUAUCUCCUCAUCUUCCUCUGACUCAUAUUGGUCAUGUGAGGGAGUUAUGUAUGUGUUUGUUUCUUCUAAUGGUUCUUUGUUGAAGAAGUCUUCCUCAUGUUGUUUGGGUUUUUCUUGAAAUGGGAAGAUUUCUUCAUGGAAAGUAACAUCCCUGUUUGUGAAGAUUUCUUGGUUUGAUAGGUUGAGUAUCUUAUAACCCUUUCUUUGGAAAGAGUAUCCUAGAAAAAUUCCCUUAAUGGCUCUGUUUUCGAAUUUUGUCUUUGUUUUGUUGUUUGUAGCAUAGCAAAGACAUCCGAACACUCUUAGGAUAGAGAGGUUUGGUUGCUCAUUAAACAGUCUGUAGUAAGGGGUGUCAUUGUCUAAGACAACAGCUGAGGUUCUAUUUAUUAGGAAUACAGCUGUUAGGAUGCAUUCCCCCCAAUAUGUAAGGGGGAUGUUGGAUUGGAUCAUAAGUGACCUGGCCACUUGUAGUAUAUGCUGGUGUUUUCUUUCUACUCUCCCAUUUUGUUGAGGAGUGUAAGGACAUGAUAGUUGGUGUGCUAUUCCAUUUGUUUUUAUGAUAUUUUGGAAUUCUUUAGACAGGAAUUCUGUUCCAUUGUCUGUUCUUAUGGUUUGGAUCGUUGUUUGGUGUUGAUUUUUAACAUCCAAGAUGAACUGUUUGAAUUUUCCUAAUGUUUCAGCUUUGUUUGUCAUCAGGAAGGCCCAGGUAGCCCUUGAAUAGUCAUCUACUAUGGUCAGAAAGUAGUUGUUUCCUUGAUGUGUGGGUGUAUGAAACUUGCCCCAAAUAUCUAGAUGAAUAAGCUGAAAACAUUUUGUAGUUUUACUUGUGCUAGAAUUAAAAGAUAACCUUGUUUGUUUUGACAAAGGGCAUGUAUUACAAAAUUUUGAAAAAUUUUUAGGAAUACAAUUGUUCAAUAAAUGUAGAUGAUAAAAUCUAGAAGGUGCAGGGUGUCCUAGCCUUCUGUGCCAGAUUUUUUCAUCUUUAGAUUCCCUUUGUUGGAUGUGAUUGGCCUGGGGUGAUUCUAGCUUUAAUAUGUAUAGACCAUCUUUCUUCUCACCACCACCAAUCUGGUUUCCCUGCUGGUCCUGUAUGGAACAGAAAGUAGGGUGGAAGGUGAAUAAGCAAUUUAUAUCUUUUGUUAACUUGCUUACAGAUAGAAGGUUUACUGAGAAGGAUGGUAUUUUAAGGACAUUGUGUAAAACAAUGUCUUUUGACAGGGUUGUGGAGCCACUUGAUGAUACUCUUGUGGUUUGUGAGUUUGGAAGGUGUAUGUUAAUUGGGUACAGGAGUGUUUUUAUGUUCUGUAGUUUGGUGUUGGGGGAACACAUGUGAUCUGUUGCCCCUGUGUCAAUGAUCCAUUGAUCAUUUUUUGUUUCAGUGUGUGGUUUUGUGUGUGUGUUUAAGGAGUAAUGAAAACAAGUAUUAUUUUUAUAAUGUGACUUACCAGAUGAGCUUCCAGAAGCCAUGUGAGCUUGACUCUGUUUCCCUUUGGAGAAUCCUCCCAGUAUGUCUAUUAGCUCUUCUCUGGUGAUGAACUUGUUUUCAGUUUUAUCUUCAUUGGGUUUUGGUUCAUCUUCUUCUUGUUGUGUGCUAGCAUUGUUGCUUUGGUAUUUGCCUUUCUGUCCUUUGUUGGGCCUGCCAUUGUAGUUUUUCUUUUCAACAAAUUUUGUGUCCUUCUUUUUGUUGAAAUCUACCCCAUGGAGCCCAUGUCCUGCUGGAAAUCCAUGCUCAUAGAAGCAUGUUUCCAGAGUGUGGUUGUGUUUCUUGCAUCUUGUGCAGUAGGGUUUGGAAUCUUCACUCUGAAUAUGUGUCUUUACCUGAGGAUUUUUAGAUUGUGCUACCAUGGCAUUGCCUUCCUCAGGGUAUACACAUUCCCUUUGAGUUUCUUCUUGUAGAACCAUGCUAAAAGCAUCUUCUACUGAAGGUGGGGUUUUCUUCUUCAAAAUCUGUCCUCUGAUGGUCAUGAAGGAGUCAUUCAGACCAGUUGUGAAGGUGAUUAAUCUCUCCAGAUUUUCCUUUGCUAUGCAGUUAGCAUUGCCACAGCAUUCAAAGAUCUGAUUGUUGUCUAGUUCAUUCCAGAGUCCCUGUAGUUUGGCAUAGUAAUUGCUUACAGAUUCAUUGCCUUGAGUGCAUAGUGCAAUCUGCCUUUUGAGUUGAGAAAUAACCAGGGAGUUUGCUCUGCUGUAUUUCUGUUUGAGAUUUUGCCACAAGAUGUUGGCAUCUUUUAUGAAGAUUGUGCUGCUUUUGAUUUCCUUGGAGCAGCUGUUUAGUAUCCAUGCUGUGACUAGAUCAUUGCAUCUGACCCAGGGUAUGAAGUAGUUAUCUGUGUUUUCUGCUGGUUUUGUAAUGGUUCCAUUUAUGAAACCCAGUUUGUUUUUGUGGAUAGAGAUCUUUGAAUUUCAACCACCCAUGUCUGAUAGUUUGAUCCACUGAGUGGAGUUACUACCAGGCUUGUGUUGGGAUUAUCACUCCCUGAAAUAUAGUAUGGAUUUCCAUCUUUGAUUUUAAACUCAUCAUUCUUUGUUGUCAUUUUCAGAUAAAAAUGAGAGGAGGGAAAGAAGGCUGAUGAGAAGGCACACCAGGAAUCUCAGGAGAAUGAGAGAGCUCAGAAGGCAAAAUAUGAAUGUGGAGGCCUUGGAGUAUUUUGGUGAUGUGGAAGAUGUGUACUCUUCCUCUGACUCUGAGUAUGAGAGACCUGUUCCUGUGUGGGAUAUUGAAUUUCCCUCAGAUAGUGAUGGCGAAGAUGGUGUGGUGUGUCAGGAAUACUACUAUGAUUAUGAUAGUGAUGAUUCUAUGCCUGACUAUGAGAUAUGGAGUGAUCCAGAUGUGGGCCUGAAUUCUGAGGGGGAGAAGGAAAAUGGUGUUCUAGCAGUAGAGAUUCCACUACCUCCUCGUCCUCCACAAGAAUUCUUUGACAAUAUCUGGAGAAACAGGAUUGUUUUUGAUGAUUCACAAUGCUGCUGUGUUGAAACAGAAGUGAUAGAGUUUUGUGUUUUUGAAACAGUUUGUAAUGCUGUUUCCUUUUUUUUGUGGAAAGAAUUGAUAGUAGAAAGAAAAAAUGAUUUUAGAAUAGAGAAAGAAAAAAUAUUUUGAUUAGGAUUGAACCUUCUCUGAUACCAUGAUAGAAGUUAUAUUUGAAAUAUAUGCAAAUAUAAAUAUGAAAUAUGGUUUAAGAAUUGAAUUAUCGAUGUAUGUAUGAUGAUAUGAUAAUGAACUGUAAAUUGAUACUGUAGGAUGAUCGAUUGAUGAAGCGAUGAUCCACAGCUUGUUGAAGUGAGUUGAAUGUGAUUGAACUUGAAUCUGUGAUUCAAGUUGAUGUAUUGCAGUUCCNNNNNNNNNNNNNNNNNNNNNNNNNNNNNNNNNNNNNNNNNNNNNNNNNNNNNNNNNNNNNNNNNNNNNNNNNNNNNNNNNNNNNNNNNNNNNNNNNNNNUUGCAGAAUUGAUCAGACAGAGUAACCCAAAGUCUGUAAUUGUAAUACAGAGUGUGUGGAUGUGUGUGUGUGAUCGUGUGUUGUCUUAAACUAGGAUUAGGUAUGUUUAUAUAGAAGAACACCCAACGGCUAUGUUGGUUGGGUGUAUUUAAUUAUGGUAAUUAAUAUAUAUAGGAAUGUGUAAUAUGGAUUUGGGAAUUAAUAUAAGAUUGAAUAUUUGAUUGAUAUUUGAAUGUGAAAAGAUGUAAUGAGAAUGUGAAGAGUUGUGAUGAAAUAAGAGGGUGUUAAUGAUAAUUUUAUUAUAAUGUUAUAUGUGUAAUUUAUUUUAAGGUAGGGGUAUAUCUCUAAUAUCCUCCCUCAAAUCAAAACCGGUCAGGGUUUGAUUUGAAUAUGUGGGUGCAUUGGGGUGUUGAAGUGAAUUAAUUGGGUUUGAAUUCUUGGUGUGUAUAUCAAUUAGGUUUAGUUUUUGGAUUAAAUUUUUAAAUGCUGGACCACCCAAGGGUUUAGUGAAAAAAUCACCAAUGUUUUGUGUGCUAGAGACGUGUCUUAGUGUAAUAUCUCCCGCUAAAACCUUGUCCCUCACCGUGUGAAGAUCGAUCUCUAUAUGCUUUGUUCGUUGGUGUGAUAUAGGGUUUCGUGCAAUCGCCUCUGCUGCCGUGCUGUCGGUGAAGAUACGUGGAGCCGGUGAUCGUCGUAUCUGGUAAACUCCUAUCUCAUGUAGUAGCAUUGUUAACCAAGUUAUUUCACAUGUAGUGUAGGCCAAUGCUCUGUACUCAGCCUCAGCCGAUGAUCUUGAUAUUGUUUGUUGCUUUUUUGAUUUCCAAGAUACUAGGGAAGUACCAAGGAAGAUGGCAAACCCCGAUGUUGAUCGUCUGGUGGUUGGGCAACUUGCCCAAUCUGAGUCAGAAAAUGCAGAAAUGUGGUCCAUUGAGGAUCCUGUAAAAUGCAACCCCACACCAGGUGAUCCUUUUAUGUAUUUUAAUACUCUGUAGGCAGCUUUCAUGUGAAUGUCUGUGGGUGUUGCCAUGUGCUGGCUUAGAUAAGUCACAGCAUAUGAUAUGUCUGGUCUUGUGCAAGUUAAAUAAACUAACUUGCCAAUUAUACUUCUAUAUUGCUGUGGGUCCUCUAAUGGGGUUCCACAUGUCUCUGUUUUAUGUGACUGCAUUGGUGUUUUAUUGAUGUGGUUAUUUGGUUGCAUUAAUGUGUUAUUAAGUUUUUCUGUUUUAUAAUUGGAUAUUUGUUUUUGGCUAUUUGGAGUGUUGUUUGGUUUGCAUUGAGUUAGAUCAUAUUUUUCCAAUAGAUCUAAGGUGUAUUUUCUUUGCCCGAUGUAUAGGCCAUUUGGUGUUUUUGUGAAUUCAAGGCCUAGGAAAUAUUUAAGUUCUCCUAGGUCUUUUAUUUUGAAAGUUUCACUUAAGUUUCCUUUUAAGGUAUUAAUUUUAUCUAUGUUAUUUCCUGUUAUUAACAGGUCAUCAACAUAGGCUAAUACUAUUGUAGUAUCUUUAUCAUCAAUGUUUAUGAACAGUGAAUAAUCUGUCUUGCAUUGUUUGUAUCCAAAAUUGGAUAGAGCCUUUGACAGAGUUUGAUACCACACUCUGGAGGCUUGUUUUAGGCCAUAUAGUGACCUAUUCAGUCUGCAGACUGAAUUUGGUGGUGAGUCUUUUGGUAUGUCUAGACCCAGGGGAAUCUUCAUGUAUAUAGUUUCUUCUAGAGUUCCAUGUAGAAAAGCAUUUUGUACAUCCAUUUGAUGCAUGUGCCAUUUCUUGGAUACUCCUAUUGCUAAAAUGACUCUGAGUGUUGUCAUUUUUGAGACAGGGGCAAAGGUUUCUGUGAAAUCUAUCCCCUCAAUUUGGUUGUAUCCUUUUGCAACCAAUCUUGCUUUAUGUUUUUCAACAGUUCCAUCACUGUUGAAUUUGGUCUUGUAAACCCAUUUGCAGCCAAUUGGUUUCUUUCCUUGAGGAAUGCUAGUGAUUGUCCAUGUUUUGUUGUUUUCAAGAGCCUCAAGUUCUUGUUUCAUAGCAUUGUUCCAUUUGGCAUGUUUGGAGGCUUCUUUGUAUGAGCUUGGAUCAUUGUUGCUUUCUAUUGUUGUGAUGAAAGCAUAGUAUUCUGGGGUGAAAUUUUGUUGUGAGAUUUCUUUCCCUAUUGGGUGUCUAGAUGAUGCUAGUUGUAGUUUGUAAUCUUUUAGGUAUGAAGGCAUUUUUCUAGUUCUUUUUGAUGUUCUGUUAGUGCCCUCAUUGUCUGCUGGUGUUGGUGUUUCAGCUAUUUCUUCCUCUUCUUCUGACUCAUAUUGUUCAGUGAGUUCCAUUGAAGGAGGAAUGUGAGAAAUUUGAGGAAUUAUCUCCUCAUCUUCCUCUGACUCAUAUUGGUCAUGUGAGGGAGUUAUGUAUGUGUUUGUUUCUUCUAGUGGUUCUUUGUUGAAGAAGUCUUCC